Molecule: long non-coding RNA, 683 nt
Filed under: Homo sapiens (human)
Lineage: Eukaryota; Metazoa; Chordata; Mammalia; Primates; Hominidae
Description: PATL1 divergent transcript (PATL1-DT)
Source: RNAcentral
CUCAAUACGUAUUUAUCGAGAAUCUAUUAUGUAAAAUGCAAUGUUCACAGCAUCUUCACCGGGAGAAGAUUCUAUCUUAAGGAAACUCUUUUCUCAUGCAUAAGAAGCACCUCCUUACCUGUUAAAAGUUUAAUCAUGAGAUUGCAGGAAUUCAGUCACAUCUUCAGGCUCCACUUCUAAUUCUAGUUCUCUUGGUAUUCCACCGCACCUGCAGUGACUUCCUCCACCGAAGUCUUGAACCUCUCAAAGUCAUCCAUGAGGGUUGGAAUCAACUUCUUCCAAAGUCCUGUUAAUGUUUGUAGUGUUAUGAAAUAUAUAUACAUAUAGGUUUUCAUACACAGGAAACAGAAUCUCUUUGACCUUCUCUUGCCUUCCUUUUACCUGCCUUCCUUUCACCUACCCCAAAGCAGGACUCUAAUCUUCUGCUUUUAUAAUUGUGGAUCAUAAGACUCAUUUCAGAGAGGGUCCCAACCCAUGGCCUGGGGGAAGGAAUGCUGAUAUAAUGAAGCUUCCAUAAAAAUCCAAGAGGACAGCUUCCUGAUAGCUGAACAAGUGGAGGUUUCUGGGGAAUGGCUACCUGGGGAGGGCAUGGGAGCUCCGUGUCCCUUCCUCCAUACCUCUCCCUGUGCAUCUCUUCAUCUGGAUCCUUCGUGAUAUCCUUUAUAAUAAACUGGUAAAUAUAA